RNAcentral lists this non-coding RNA (103 nucleotides) under Fictibacillus enclensis. RNAcentral's name for it is "TPP sequence". It matches the Rfam family "TPP riboswitch aptamer (THI element)". From Rfam's summary of the family: Vitamin B(1) in its active form thiamin pyrophosphate (TPP) is an essential coenzyme that is synthesised by coupling of pyrimidine and thiazole moieties in bacteria. The previously detected thiamin-regulatory element, thi box was extended, resulting in a new, highly conserved RNA secondary structure, the THI element, which is widely distributed in eubacteria and also occurs in some archaea. Lineage: Bacteria; Bacillati; Bacillota; Bacilli; Caryophanales; Fictibacillaceae. The record is from Rfam by way of RNAcentral.
ACUAACCACUAGGGGAGCUUAUGGAAGCUGAGAAAAGAGUGAACUUUGACCCUUUGAACCUGAUACGGAUCAUACCGUCGUAGGGAAGUGGCUUAAACCGACG